This 490-nucleotide ribosomal RNA is filed under the name uncultured bacterium. RNAcentral's name for it is "partial 16S ribosomal RNA". It matches the Rfam family "Bacterial small subunit ribosomal RNA", at positions 30 to 507 of the family's 1533-position model. The record is from RNAcentral.
AUUGAACGCUGGCGGCAGGCCUAACACAUGCAAGUCGAACGGUAACAGAAAGCAGCUUGCUGCUUUGCUGACGAGUGGCGGACGGGUGAGUAAUGUCUGGGAAACUGCCUGAUGGAGGGGGAUAACUACUGGAAACGGUAGCUAAUACCGCAUAACGUCGCAAGACCAAAGAGGGGGACCUUCGGGCCUCUUGCCAUCGGAUGUGCCCAGAUGGGAUUAGCUUGUUGGUGGGGUAACGGCUCACCAAGGCGACGAUCCCUAGCUGGUCUGAGAGGAUGACCAGCCACACUGGAACUGAGACACGGUCCAGACUCCUACGGGAGGCAGCAGUGGGGAAUAUUGCACAAUGGGCGCAAGCCUGAUGCAGCCAUGCCGCGUGUAUGAAGAAGGCCUUCGGGUUGUAAAGUACUUUCAGCGGGGAGGAAGGGAGUAAAGUUAAUACCUUUGCUCAUUGACGUUACCCGCAGAAGAAGCACCGGCUAUCUCCGUG